CUCCCGCCGGCGACCGGCGCACGGGUGAGUAACACGUAUGAAACCUGCCCGUAGCAGGGGGAUAAGCGGAAGAAAUUCCGUCUAAUACCGCGUAACAACCCAUGGAGGCAUCUCUGUGGGUUUAAAGGAAGAGAUUCCGGCUACGGAUGGUCAUGCGUCGCAUUAGCUUGUUGGCGGGGUAACGGCCCACCAAGGCGACGAUGCGUAGGGGUUCUGAGAGGAAGGUCCCCCACACUGGUACUGAGACACGGACCAGACUCCUACGGAAGGCAGCAG
This 276-nucleotide ribosomal RNA is filed under the name uncultured bacterium. RNAcentral describes it as "partial 16S ribosomal RNA". It matches the Rfam family "Bacterial small subunit ribosomal RNA", at positions 82 to 354 of the family's 1533-position model. The record is from RNAcentral.